UACGAAGGGGGCUAGCGUUGCUCGGAAUCACUGGGCGUAAAGGGUGCGUAGGCGGGUCUUUAAGUCAGGGGUGAAAUCCUGGAGCUCAACUCCAGAACUGCCUUUGAUACUGAGGAUCUUGAGUCCGGGAGAGGUGAGUGGAACUGCGAGUGUAGAGGUGAAAUUCGUAGAUAUUCGCAAGAACACCAGUGGCGAAGGCGGCUCACUGGACCGGAACUGACGCUGAGGCGCGAAAGCGUGGGGAGCAAACAGG
RNAcentral lists this ribosomal RNA (253 nucleotides) under uncultured bacterium. RNAcentral describes it as "partial 16S ribosomal RNA". It matches the Rfam family "Bacterial small subunit ribosomal RNA", at positions 524 to 776 of the family's 1533-position model. The record is from RNAcentral.